Hevea brasiliensis (rubber tree) is the source of this 965-nucleotide long non-coding RNA. RefSeq lists it as uncharacterized. The record is from RefSeq and is a predicted model, not a curated record. The transcript has 2 exons. NCBI's taxonomy places the organism in Eukaryota, Viridiplantae, Streptophyta, Magnoliopsida, Malpighiales, Euphorbiaceae.
ACCGGAUCGAGGAUAGCUCACUAGAGUCGGGAUCACAUUUUCAGCCGGAUCCGACAGCCCGUCUCAGAAUGUGAUUGAUAUUAUAGUCAAUUCUAACAUUUUUAAACAUUCUGGACGCGUUCCAGGUGUCAAAAUUGACAUAGGUGAGCCGGGACAGCCUUUCUCCUCCGUCCAGCCGCCGCAGUGACCUCAGUUAAGUCUGUGAGUAAAAUAUUAAUUUUAAUUAUAAUUUCAAUAUUAUUAUAUAUUCAGGCAUGCUCAUGCAUCACUUAUAUGGAGUAGUGUGCGUUCGUUGGCAUGCAUAUGGUAUGGUAUUGGAUAUGAACAGGACGGAUAGACACGGCUUGAGAGACACUCACUAGGACCCGGUCCUUUAUGGAUAAGUCGAGGUAGACACGGCUUGAGAGACACUCGCUGGGACCCCGUAUUUGGUUUAUUAAGCGAAAGUCCGGCUUGAGAGACACUUGCUGGCAGAGGUUAGAUUAAAAGAGCUGUAUAGGAGAUUGGCUCCCAUAUAUGUACUGUUUGAACAGUGUUGGGUGUGUGAAUGCUCCAAAUUGCCUUUUUGCUGUUAUGAUGUGAUGCAUAUAAAAAUUUUGAGAGUGUUGCAUUCCACUCUUUAGGAUGCAUUAGCUUUAGAUAGCUAUAGAAAUUGUACUUAAAAUUGGUAUUUUACUCUCUGAGUCGAAUGCUCACUCCUGUUCACCAUAUUUUUUCCAGAAUAACCUAUUCCUUUCCUCUCAGGUUAUGAAAAAAAAUUACUUAACUAUAUUAUUAUUAUCUAAAUUUGUAAUUUAGAACUCCGCAUGUAUUAGUAAUAGCAUUAAUCCUCUCAUGAACUGCAUGAAUUUAAGCUUUGUAUUAACAAAUAAAAUUUUUUUAUGAGUUUUAAAUAGUUUGUAAAUGAUGUAACAGGAUUGAGCUGGGUUUCCCUAAUUUUAGUUUUUGAUAAUUACUGGGUUAAA